Molecule: ribosomal RNA, 448 nt
Filed under: uncultured bacterium
Lineage: Bacteria
Description: bacterial SSU rRNA
Rfam family: Bacterial small subunit ribosomal RNA
Source: RNAcentral
CUCCAGACUCCUACGGGAGGCAGCAGUGGGGAAUAUUGCACAAUGGGGGAAACCCUGAUGCAGCGACGCCGCGUGAGCGAUGAAGUAUUUCGGUAUGUAAAGCUCUAUCAGCAGGGAAGAAGAUGACGGUACCUGACUAAGAAGCCCUGGCUAACUACGUGCCAGCAGCCGCGGUAAUACGUAGGGGGCAAGCGUUAUCCGGAUUUACUGGGUGUAAAGGGAGCGUAGACGGCGAUGCAAGCCAGAUGUGAAAGCCCGGGGCUCAACCCCGGGACUGCAUUUGGAACUGUGUGGCUGGAGUGUCGGAGAGGCAGGCGGAAUUCCUAGUGUAGCGGUGAAAUGCGUAGAUAUUAGGAGGAACACCAGUGGCGAAGGCGGCCUGCUGGACGAUGACUGACGUUGAGGCUCGAAAGCGUGGGGAGCAAACAGGAUUAGAUACCCUCGUACA